RNAcentral lists this ribosomal RNA (331 nucleotides) under uncultured eukaryote. RNAcentral's name for it is "partial 18S ribosomal RNA". It matches the Rfam family "Eukaryotic small subunit ribosomal RNA", at positions 1470 to 1796 of the family's 1831-position model. The record is from RNAcentral.
CCCUUAGAUGUUCUGGGCCGCACGCGCGCUACACUGAUGCAUUCAACGAGCCUAUCCUUGACCGACAGGUCCGGGUAAUCUUUGAAAUUUCAUCGUGAUGGGGAUAGAUUAUUGCAAUUAUUAAUCUUCAACGAGGAAUUCCUAGUAAGCGCGAGUCAUCAGCUCGCGCUGAUUACGUCCCUGCCCUUUGUACACACCGCCCGUCGCUACUACCGAUUGGAUGGUUUAGCGAGAACUUUGGACCGGAGCUCGGGUGGUCAGCAAUGGCCGCCCGAGACAUACUGGGAAAUCGCUCCAGCUUGAUCAUCUAGAGGAAGUAAAAGUCGUAACA